AUACCUUCCAUGACUGCAACUUUACUUCAUUAAGAACGGAGGAGCGGUCAGGCAAUGGCUGCAAAACAGCAGCCCUCCUGGUAGCUAACGAAGCCUGUGCCAUGUCCAUGCCACCGUAAGGGACACCUGAGACAGUU
This is a small nucleolar RNA of Psammomys obesus (fat sand rat), 137 nucleotides long. RefSeq annotates it as small nucleolar RNA SNORA70. The transcript has a single exon. The record is from RefSeq and is a predicted model, not a curated record. Lineage: Eukaryota; Metazoa; Chordata; Mammalia; Rodentia; Muridae.